Molecule: long non-coding RNA, 100 nt
Organism: Xiphophorus couchianus (Monterrey platyfish)
Lineage: Eukaryota; Metazoa; Chordata; Actinopteri; Cyprinodontiformes; Poeciliidae
Exons: 3
Source: RefSeq, a predicted model, not a curated record
GUCUACAGUCAUAAACAUUUUGACCAUUUUAAUGGACCUUUAAUGCAACAUUUAGUACAACUCUGCAUUAAAAGUGUCAUUAUUUACCAAGACAUGUCAU